RNAcentral lists this ribosomal RNA (468 nucleotides) under uncultured bacterium. RNAcentral's name for it is "partial 16S ribosomal RNA". It matches the Rfam family "Bacterial small subunit ribosomal RNA", at positions 28 to 507 of the family's 1533-position model. The record is from RNAcentral.
GACGAACGCUGGCGGCGUGCUUAACACAUUCAAGUCGAACGGAAAGUCCCUGCUUUUGUGGGUUGCUCUAGUGGCGAACGGGUGAGUAACACGUGAGUAACCUGCCCUUGACUUCGGGAUAACUUCAGGAAACUGGGGCUAAUACCGCAUAGGAGCUCCUGCUGCAUGGUGGGGGUUGGAAAGUUUCGUCGGUUGGGGAUGGACUCGCGGCUUAUCAGCUUGUUGGUGGGGUAGUGGCUUACCAAGGCUUUGACGGGUAGCCGGCCUGAGAGGGUGACAGGCCACAUUGGGACGGAGAUACGCACCAGACUCAUACGGGAGGCAGCAGUGGGGAAUAUUGCACGAUGGGCGGAAGUCUGAUGCAGCACUGCAGCGCGCGGGAUGAAGGUCUUCGGGUUGUAAACCGCUUUCGGCUGUGACGAAGAGUGAGUGACGGUAAUGGGUAAAGAAGCCCCGGCUAACUACGUG